GUGGGCUAUGGAGACAUGUACCCAAUGACCAUUGGGGGCAAGAUUGUGGGGUCGUUGUGCGCCAUUGCCGGCGUGCUGACCAUCGCCCUUCCUGUGCCUGUCAUUGUCUCCAAC
Podarcis lilfordi (Lilford's wall lizard) is the source of this 114-nucleotide non-coding RNA. The record is from the annotation of a GenBank genome assembly. NCBI's taxonomy places the organism in Eukaryota, Metazoa, Chordata, Lepidosauria, Squamata, Lacertidae.